This 27-nucleotide non-coding RNA is filed under the name Cricetulus griseus (Chinese hamster). Lineage: Eukaryota; Metazoa; Chordata; Mammalia; Rodentia; Cricetidae. The record is from RNAcentral.
GAUGGCUAUAGAGGAGAGAACACCCUG